This is a long non-coding RNA of Tachysurus fulvidraco (yellow catfish), 1282 nucleotides long. RefSeq lists it as uncharacterized. The record is from RefSeq and is a predicted model, not a curated record. The transcript has 4 exons. Lineage: Eukaryota; Metazoa; Chordata; Actinopteri; Siluriformes; Bagridae.
UCGUACUGCUGCCGCUGCUCCCCAUGGUUUAAGUUUGUUUGCUUGUUUAUUUUAAAUGUUUGAUUACUGUUGCCUUUUUCUGGUCAUUUUUAACUACAAGGAUUAAAGACUCAUGUUCAAAUGUUCUGACUCUUCGAUCGCACCAGGAUAUUAUCUACUAUCCGCGGCAGAAUUACAUCCAUCGUAGGUCACAACGGAAUUAUAUCGACGAUGACACUGGUCCAAUAUGACCUUUCAGCGCUCACCAAAGAAAUCAAUACGGACUGUUGACCACAGUGUGCUGGCCGAUAUCGCCCGCACUACUAGCAUCGAAUCUGAAAUUCUCUGUGAGGACCCUCAUCUCGGACAAGAUCACAGAGAGCUCAAGCAAUGGAGAUGAAACCGAAUAUGAGGCCAGUGUUGCUCUACCAUCACCUCCUCAACCCACAUCUCCCAAAGCAACAUCAGUGCCACUAUGCCCAUUGUUUAUUAGACUGCAAAAGCACAACCUACAGUGAAAGGAAUGGCCCGCACCCUCCUUCUGGGCCUGUUCAGCAUUGAUGGCCUACUGAAGUCCAACCUGACGGGAGGGGUCAAUAAGGUUGAUCCAUCUGCAGAGACGCCAGCCUCUGGACCCUAAGAAGCUUACAGCUUUACUCAAUGCAGUUGUUCAGCAACACCUAGGGGUGAAGAUUCCGGACAUACGAAUGGCCAUAAACAAAAGGAUCUGUGAGUUAAGACACCAGAAGAAAAAGACCAUGGACAACUAAAGGACUGGCCAAGGCUGGCCAAUGGGUCUUGAUAAGUUAGCAUGCAGGAUCCAUAACACUGCACUAAAGGAUUGUCCUGUUUUUUCCACUGAGGGAUUGUUCUAUUUUGUUGUUCUAAAGACUGUUUUAUUUUAUUACAACGAAGAACAGUUUACUUUAGGAAAUAUUUUUUUAAUUCUUUUAAGUAUUUUUGUUCAUUUACAGUUGUUGUUGCCAUCUAUUGGAUCACAUAAAAAUAUCAUGUUUAAAAGAAGAAAAAAAAAAAGAUUUUAUAGCCUUGAACUAAGUAUGAUAUGGCAUACAGUACAUGGCACAUCCCUACCAGCAAACCAGCUGUUUGCCAAGCACAUUAUGUACAUUAUGUGUACAUAAGCUUCACAUGGAACCAUGGUGACAUGCCUUUCAUUCUGUUUGUUCUCAGGUCACUGUCCCUUCAGCUGCUGCUUUUGAAAUAAACCUCAUUCAGUUACUGUGAACUAUAUUGAGGUCUUAUUCAAUCUAUUAUAUUUUAAAAUAUAUGACCGACAUUGUGC